This is a long non-coding RNA of Salvelinus fontinalis (brook trout), 757 nucleotides long. RefSeq lists it as uncharacterized. The record is from RefSeq and is a predicted model, not a curated record. The transcript is spliced from 3 exons. NCBI's taxonomy places the organism in Eukaryota, Metazoa, Chordata, Actinopteri, Salmoniformes, Salmonidae.
ACCGUCAGCACAAAUAUCAAUCAACCGCUUCGUGCCCUGUCGCAGGUCUGCUCUGAGAGAGGAAAACCUGAGUCAGAAUCAGAGAACAUGACUUGUUUAGCAUCACACACCGUUUCUGACACAGGAUUCCAGUUUUGAUGAGCCGCAGACCGUCCAGGGGCACAGGCAGGGCUGCAGAAAGAAUUGGACAGGAAGACCUUGAAAGGGCUGCUCGACUGCAAGAAGAGAGGCUGGCCGAGAUGAAGGCUCAAUUGCAAGAGCUGUCCUUUGAAGAGAGGGGAGAGGCGCUUCCCAUGACAUCAUGUACCGGAGAGCUAUCUCAGGGUCUCUGGACAACCUCACUGGUGCAUCUGCAUGCGAGACUCCUGCACCUUAGCACACACAACUGCUGCCAUUUCACCACUGAAAUAUUAAAUGUAUUUAUUACGUUUACAUAACAGCUUAAGACUUUCCACGACUACACUGUACUUUAUUCAUUGAGGAGACUCCCUCCAAGCAGACACACUGUUCAUUUUUUGGUUGUGGCAUUUUGUGGUUUGUUUGUUUUGACACCUCUCAACACCCCUCAUAACCACCACAUCUAUGCACGCAACCACUCACUUACACUACUGAAUACUGACGACACACACCAUUGUUAAUUGUAUAUAGUGUAACGACCCUGGGUUUAUAAGCGCGGAAAUGCUUUUGCGGCACAGUCGAUAGCGCGCCGGACUUCGGGCUAGACGGUUGAGGGUUCGAGACCUGCUCCCUGCUGUUU